Molecule: long non-coding RNA, 3324 nt
Organism: Lineus longissimus
Lineage: Eukaryota; Metazoa; Nemertea; Pilidiophora; Heteronemertea; Lineidae
Exons: 3
Source: RefSeq, a predicted model, not a curated record
CGUGAAAAUGAGGUCGUCAGUGGUCUGAGCAAAGGACUGGUGUUUGUUUGAUGACAUUUAUACGGGAAAAAGGAAGUGCCGUUGGGUUCAAGGUUAACGAUUCGCCAGCUUGCCAUGGCAACGCGAUCUCUGCAGCAUUGGUUGCGAGGUUGGCAUAAUCUGACAUUUACGGAUGCAACGAAAUGGCCGCUGAAAACAGGAGAAGCACAAUGGUGUCAGUUGCCUAACAGGAGCCUAUUUUCGGCCCAAGUUUUGAGGUUUCGACAGGCUGGAAAUCAAGUAACGUGUGACACAACAUUCCAUUACCAUGACGACGACGUAUCAAACUUUAGAGGAAUCGACAACAGACGACCACGGUCAACAUGAACCAACCAGCAUCCCUCUACCCCAGGUUGGCUAUCCAGGUUACAGCAAUGGGUCGCAACCUGUUGGACAAAUUUCCAACCAAUACCGGCCCGCCUAUCGGACUAAAUUGGCACUAAAACUAGGAAUUCUCCAAAUCUUUCUCGGAACGAUGGCGGUGGUGUGCGGAAUUGUGAUUCUUGCGAUGAGAGUGUUCCUCUAUUUUACCGGAAUGGGAAUCGGCGCUGGCGCCCUCUUUGUAGCGGCAGGGAUAUUCGGUGUGGUCUCGUCGCGUCAGAAGGCAACAUGGGCCAUCGUCACGUGUAUGGUUCUGUCCAUCGUAUCUGCGGUAGCGGCUGGCGUCUCCAUCAUCGCUUCUGCAGAAGGAAUCGACUUGCAUUUUAAACGUAUGUACAGAUCAAUCACGCCGAAAGAGGUCGACACCGGUAUCAUAACGCAUAUUGUCCUCAUCGUCUGUUGCGUCCUGGAAAUGAUGGCCUCAUGUUUACAAGCAACCAUUUGUUGCCGGGCAACAUGCUGCAUGGCAGGUAAUAUGCGACCGGAAAUAAUGGUGGUCUACUUGCCGCAACCUGUGAUGAAUUCAAAUCAGCAGUUUGGGGGAACGUCAGUGAUGCCACAGCUUAUGGUUCCUCCACAAGGAGUUGCACAACAGCAACAUAGCCAUGCCGGACAAAAUGGCGUGAUUGCAAAUGGCGGACAACAACACGUACCGUAUGCUCCAGCCGAAGGAAAUGGAUACUGAUUUUAAUAGCAUAAAAUGUAAGCUCCCUCCGUUUGGAAUGUGCCAUAAGUUCGAAAAUCAAACGGAAGAAUACGCAAUUUGUACUAAUACUUAUAAUAGGAUAUUGUAGGCCUUUUUGGUGUCAUCAUAUCACUGUUACUCAAAUAUUAUCAUCAUGUAUGACUGUUGCCCAACGCUGGAAGCGGCCACGAGUGGGUAACAAGAAGUUGUGAUAUUUUGCAUAAACUACAUGUAUAAGAAUGUGCAUGACGCUCUUUCGUGAAAUUCGGUAACAUUAGGCAGGUUUCGCAAAAGCGUAAGGGUGUACUGAGGAAGAAAAUAUGUUGGCCAAGAGUUCUGCGCGAAAUGACAGCCACACCCGCCGUAAUUUUGGCUGAAAUGCCAGCUCUACCCGAGCGGAGUUUGGUGCGGCAACCAUGUACCGACAGUGAGGUAGCACGGACGUAGAGCAUCUAUAAACGUGGAGGUACCAAUUUUUAAUUUAGAAAUCUCAAACUUGAUGUAUUUUAGACCCAUCCUCCGGGAAUCUGCUUUUGACACAUUUUAUACCAAUCUAAGAGGUUAUGGUAGUCUCACUGAAACCUCUGUAGUCAAAACGAUCCAUUAAAUGAAACAUUGCAGCCAAUGUGUUUUAGAAUGCACUUUCAUCACGUUGCACACGGAGGCUAAAGGAUACACCUGGUGGAUACUCUGUACACUACUGACUGCCAUAUUGGAUUCCGGGAAGGCCGAGGCUGUGUGAUGAUUCUAUAGGCAUGGUUAUGGUCAAACUACGCAUCACUUCUGCAUAGUCAAGUUGUUUUUGCCUGUGCUAGGUUCACGCGGCGGAGGCUAAAGGAUAACCUGGUGGAUACUCUGUACACUACUGACUGCCAUAUUGGAUUUCGGGAAGGCCGAGGCUGUGUGAUGAUUCUAUAGGCAUGGUUAUGGUCAAACUACGCAUCACUUCUACAUAGUCAAGUUGUUUUUGCCUGUGCUAGGUUUACGCGGCGUUUAUGGAACGAUGUAGGCUUUAUAACACGUCCACUGUUUUGCUAGAUUUUUAUUUUCAUAUUGUUUGUAAUUUCACUUUGUGCACUGCUGUAUAAAAUGUAUCCUGCCACUUUAACUCUAUCACUGAUCUCGAAAUCCCUGCAUUGCGAUCAUCAUCACCGUUCUAGACAUAAACCGUGGGCCAUUCCAAAAAGUUGUCUUCGGGGGUAGAGUAAAAAUUCUUUAUCAUAGUAAAAUGAGGUGAUCGCAUGGCAAAAUAAAAACAUUUCCACAAAAAGAGUUGCACGUCGGCUAUACUGCCUUUAUUCACAGGGAUAUCCCACACUAACGCUAGCAAUUUUGAUUCAACUACUGGCUACUAGGUGGCAUAAACCUGCUCCAUUUAGUGCUGUCACCUGCUAUCGAAUUCAUGAGCUAUGAUUUUCUGGAUACUAAAGUCAAUAGCGAGUUUCCGAAAAUUUUACGAAUAUCAAAUUACGAAUAACGAAUUGCUAUUUAUCCGAGAAAGAGACCACAAGAUCAUUGGUUUCUAGGCUUAUCAACGUCCGUUAACAUUAGAAGGGUCACUCGGGUUCCAGCGUUCUUUCACCUCUUAGUCGCAGCGAGUUUUGAAUUCGUGGUGACGAACUGGCUGAGUCGUUACGAAUUAGUCUACAUUGUUGCAGCGUCUGAUUUUUCAACAAGACCGGAACUGGACGAAAGCAUUUUAAAACUCCUAAUACAUAACACCGGAUACAGCUGACUGCAAAAUGGAACGCGAGUUACUUCGUAAUGAUAAGUUCUUAAUUCCUAAUUCCUAGUCGUGAGAUUUGCGGAAACUCAGUAUACAUGUAUCUGGUUUAGGGGCAAUUGUUUUAUGUAAUGUGAAGGAAACACCUUUACUAAUAACAAUAAUAACAUUUUUACUCCAACCUCUUAUAUUUUGACACGAAUUCAAAAACAAAGCUCCUUUUUUUUCAAUUUGGCCCACAGCCAAACAUCGCUGCUGAUGAACUUAAGGAAAAUUGACGAGGGCUUGAGCUCGUCCACCUUCCCUCUCACUAGAGUGACUCAACCACUCUCUUGAUUACAUCACAGAGAGUGGCCCGGAACUGGCCAAUAGUGGUUACACACUGGCCUCCUAGAGGUAGCUUAUACGUAGCGACAACGUAUAUUACAGAGGUUGGUCGUCGAUUUUCAAACAUGGAAUAUUUCAUUGAAUUAAAUCUGCUAGUCCAUACUGACAA